This 432-nucleotide unclassified non-coding RNA is filed under the name soil metagenome. RNAcentral describes it as "partial contains 5.8S ribosomal RNA, internal transcribed spacer 2, and large subunit ribosomal RNA". The stretch from base 1 to 120 matches the Rfam family "5.8S ribosomal RNA", at positions 35 to 154 of the family's 154-position model. The record is from RNAcentral.
GAUGAAGAACGCAGCGAAAUGCGAUACGUAAUGUGAAUUGCAGAAUUCAGUGAAUCAUCGAAUCUUUGAACGCAUAUUGCGCUCUCUGGUAUUCCGGAGAGCAUGCUUGUUUGAGUAUCAGUAAACACCUCAACUUCCAUAUCUUUUUUGAAAUGGGAGUUGGACUUGAGUGAUCCCAACGCUUUUCCUCACCGAAAAGUGGCGGGUUACUUGAAAUGCAGGUGCAGCUGGACUUUUUUCUGAGCUAUAAGCAUAUCUAUUUAGUCUGCCUAAAAAACAGAUUAUUACCUUUGCUGCAGCUAACAUAAAGGAGAUUAGUUCUUGUGCUGACUGAUGCAGGAUUCACAAAGACGGCUUCGGCCGACUUUGUAAACUCGAUCUCAAAUCAAGUAAGACUACCCGCUGAACUUAAGCAUAUCAAUAAGCGGAGGA